AUGCAGUCGAGCGGUAACAGGGGGUGCUUGCACCCCGCUGACGAGCGGCGGACGGGUGAGUAAUGCUUAGGAAUCUGCCCAGUAGUGGGGGAUAGCCCGGGGAAACCCGGAUUAAUACCGCAUACGUCCUACGGGAGAAAGCAGGGGAUCUUCGGACCUUGCGCUACUGGAUGAGCCUAAGUCGGAUUAGCUAGUUGGUGGGGUAAAGGCCUACCAAGGCGACGAUCCGUAGCUGGUCUGAGAGGAUGAUCAGCCACAUCGGGACUGAGGACACGGCCCGAACUCCUACGGGAGGCAGCAGUGGGGAAUAUUGGACAAUGGGGGCAACCCUGAUCCAGCCAUGCCGCGUGUGUGAAGAAGGCUUUCGGGUUGUAAAGCACUUUCAGCGAGGAGGAAGGCUCUGAAGUUAAUACCUUCAGGGAUUGACGUUACUCGCAGAAGAAGCACCGGCUAACUCCGUGCCAGCAGCCGCGGUAAUACGGAGGGUGCAAGCGUUAAUCGGAAUUACUGGGCGUAAAGCGCGCGUAGGUGGUUAGGUAAGCGAGAUGUGAAAGCCCCGGGCUUAACCUGGGAACGGCAUUUCGAACUGUCUGACUAGAGUGUGGUAGAGGGUAGUGGAAUUUCCUGUGUAGCGGUGAAAUGCGUAGAUAUAGGAAGGAACACCAGUGGCGAAGGCGGCUACCUGGACCAACACUGACACUGAGGUGCGAAAGCGUGGGGAGCAAACAGGAUUAGAUACCCUGGUAGUCCACGCCGUAAACGAUGUCAACUAGCCGUUGGGACUCUUGAAGUCUUAGUGGCGCAGCUAACGCACUAAGUUGACCGCCUGGGGAGUACGGCCGCAAGGUUAAAACUCAAAUGAAUUGACGGGGGCCCGCACAAGCGGUGGAGCAUGUGGUUUAAUUCGACGCAACGCGAAGAACCUUACCUGGGCCUUGACAUCCAGAGAACUUUCCAGAGAUGGAUUGGUGCCUUCGGGAACUCUGAGACAGGUGCUGCAUGGCCGUCGUCAGCUCGUGUCGUGAGAUGUUGGGUUAAGUCCCGUAACGAGCGCAACCCCUAUCCCUGGUUGCUAGCAGGUAAUGCUGAGAACUCCAGGGAGACUGCCGGUGACAAACCGGAGGAAGGUGGGGAUGACGUCAGGUCAUCAUGGCCCUUACGGCCAGGGCUACACACGUGCUACAAUGGCGCGUACAGAGGGCUGCCAACUCGCGAGAGUGCGCCAAUCCCUUAAAACGCGUCGUAGUCCGGAUCGGAGUCUGCAACUCGACUCCGUGAAGUCGGAAUCGCUAGUAAUCGCGAAUCAGAAUGUCGCGGUGAAUACGUUCCCGGGCCUUGUACACACCGCCCGUCACACCAUGGGAGUGGAUUGCACCAGAAGUAGUUAGUCUAACCUUCGGGAGGACGAUAG
RNAcentral lists this ribosomal RNA (1411 nucleotides) under Marinobacter sp. RNAcentral's name for it is "bacterial SSU rRNA". It matches the Rfam family "Bacterial small subunit ribosomal RNA". Lineage: Bacteria; Pseudomonadati; Pseudomonadota; Gammaproteobacteria; Pseudomonadales; Marinobacteraceae. The record is from RNAcentral.